Long non-coding RNA from Hibiscus syriacus, 245 nucleotides. RefSeq lists it as uncharacterized. The transcript is spliced from 3 exons. NCBI's taxonomy places the organism in Eukaryota, Viridiplantae, Streptophyta, Magnoliopsida, Malvales, Malvaceae. The record is from RefSeq and is a predicted model, not a curated record.
GCUUCUUACGGUAAAGGUUCAACCCUCUUUGUUUUCCAAUUUAGGCCCCUCCAUCUUCUUUGUAAUAUUAAAUUUCAAUUCAUUUUUCUGGGAUUUUUCUCCCCUUGGUUUGACCCAGGCCAGAACAGGGACUAAUUAACGGCACCUCGACACCCAUUUAGCUCACAGGUUGUUUGCCGGUCACAAAGUGAUGGCGGUGGUCGCCGUGUUUGGAGUCGGAAAUUGGCGAAGAAGGAUGAAAUGUU